This 495-nucleotide ribosomal RNA is filed under the name uncultured bacterium. Its description in RNAcentral is "partial 16S ribosomal RNA". It matches the Rfam family "Bacterial small subunit ribosomal RNA", at positions 28 to 507 of the family's 1533-position model. The record is from RNAcentral.
GACGAACGCUGGCGGCGUGCCUAAUACAUGCAAGUAGAACGCUGAAGGAGGAGCUUGCUUCUCUGGAUGAGUUGCGAACGGGUGAGUAACGCGUAGGUAACCUGCCUGGUAGCGGGGGAUAACUAUUGGAAACGAUAGCUAAUACCGCAUAAUAGCAGUUGUUGCAUGAUAACUGUUUGAAAGGUGCAAUUGCACCACUACCAGAUGGACCUGCGUUGUAUUAGCUAGUUGGUGGGGUAACGGCUCACCAAGGCGACGAUACAUAGCCGACCUGAGAGGGUGAUCGGCCACCCUGGGACUGGGACACGGCCCAGACUCCUACGGGAGGCAGCAGUAGGGAAUCUUCGGCAAUGGACGGAAGUCUGACCGAGCAACGCCGCGUGAGUGAAGAAGGUUUUCGGAUCGUAAAGCUCUGUUGUAAGAGAAGAACGAGUGUGAGAGUGGAAAGUUCACACUGUGACGGUAUCUUACCAGAAAGGGACGGCUAACUACGUG